GGGAAGAUAGGAAGCAGUUGCUAGAAGAAGAGAAGGAGCAUCAAGAAAUAAAGGUCGGAAUCCGAAGCAAGAAUUAAAUAAUAUUAAUUAUUGUUAAGCUAAUAAGUAAUAAGGUUUCUUUAUUAUUUUCAUUUUUGUUGAUGUGGGCACAUGUGUGUGUGUGUGUGUUGUGUAGGCGUGAAUAUGUUCUCUUCUGUGUUUCCUUUCAUUGGCAGCUUUUGCUUUUCUGUAACGUCCUUUCUGUGUUUAAUUUGUGUGCAUGAUCAUGAUCAUCAUCAUCAUCAUCAUCAUCAU
RNAcentral lists this long non-coding RNA (294 nucleotides) under Arachis ipaensis. RNAcentral's name for it is "long non-coding RNA (AIPA_LNC001083)". The record is from RNAcentral. Lineage: Eukaryota; Viridiplantae; Streptophyta; Magnoliopsida; Fabales; Fabaceae.